GAAUAACAGAGACAUAUGAAAUGAUUGCUCAAACUAGAGACAAACUUACCUAGUUUUUUUUAAUCCAAAUUAUAAGUUUUUCUGAAAUUUAUAACUUAUAUGUGAAUACAUAUAUACGAUAACAUAAAAUGUAUUCGUCUAUAUUAAACGCGAUAUUAAAUCGUUAUCAAAUCGUUAUCAAAUCGUUAUCAAAUCGUCGUACGUCAAUCCUCUCCUCCAUUUUACUUGAUAUAAAAACAUUUGGAUAGAUCAGAAAAAGAAAAAGAAAAAAAAAAAAAAAAAAAAAGAAAUCAGAGAAACUUCCUUAAAUGUCUGUACAUAAUCGACGAUUCGAUUAUUCAAAACACGAACAGAUCUGUCGACGUUACGAGAAAAUAUCGUGAAAUUGCAAAAAAAAAAAAUUAUUCUUCUCCAACUUGAAGUUCCUAAAAACACGCAAGUGCGUAUAUACACACGGGAAGACACACACGUACAUACAUACACAAAUAUAUAGAAAGACAAACUUGUGUGAGAGUUUACACAAUUUGUGUAAAAAGAUAGAAAAUGUUGAAACGACAGAAAGAAUAAUUUAUAACGAUUGUUAUAACAAAAAUCCAUCAAACUCGCAAGGGAAAUAAUAUUACAUAUUACGAAGUGCAUGACCCCAUAUGAAAGAUCCGAGUUUAUGGAAAGCUCCGGAACGAACGUCUCGAUGGAGAAAACAUAUUAAAAAAACGCACACACACACACAAACAUCGUAGAAUUUCGUUACAAACGUAAUCGUCGAAACUCGUCUGUUAUCACAAAGUCAUUUCACCGGAAAUUCAUCCGACAUCCCUUGAAUAGCUCUUUCGUAAAAAUAGAUGGAAACUUUUCCUCGGUAAAAAGCACAACCUGCUUAAAAUGGUAAGAGAGACACGCAACAAUACAAAAAAUAAAACACACAACGACCACAGCA
Long non-coding RNA from Vespa mandarinia (Asian giant hornet), 937 nucleotides. Lineage: Eukaryota; Metazoa; Arthropoda; Insecta; Hymenoptera; Vespidae. The record is from RefSeq and is a predicted model, not a curated record.